ACACAGGGGGAUAACAGUUAGAAAUGACUGCUAAUACCGCAUAAGCGCACAGUACCGCAUGGUACAGUGUGAAAAACUCCGGUGGUGUGAGAUGGAUCCGCGUCUGAUUAGGUAGUUGGUGGGGUAACGGCCCACCAAGCCGACGAUCAGUAGCCGACCUGAGAGGGUGACCGGCCACAUUGGGACUGAGACACGGCCCAAACUCCUACGGGAGGCAGCAGUGGGGAAUAUUGCACAAUGGGCGAAAGCCUGAUGCAGCGACGCCGCGUGAGUGAAGAAGUAUCUCGGUAUGUAAAGCUCUAUCAGCAGGGAAGAAAAUGACGGUACCUGACUAAGAAGCCCCGGCUAACUACGUGCCAGCAGCCGCGGUAAUACGUAGGGGGCAAGCGUUAUCCGGAUUUACUGGGUGUAAAGGGAGCGCAGACGGCGAUGCAAGUCUGGAGUGAAAGCCCGGGGCUCAACCCCGGGACUGCUUUGGAAACUGUAUGGCUAGAGUGCUGGAGAGGCAAGCGGAAUUCCUAGUGUAGCGGUGAAAUGCGUAGAUAUUAGGAAGAACACCAGUGGCGAAGGCGGCUUGCUGGACAGUAGCUGACGUUCAGGCUCGAAAGCGUGGGGAGCAAUUAACU
RNAcentral lists this ribosomal RNA (626 nucleotides) under uncultured Bacillota bacterium. RNAcentral's name for it is "bacterial SSU rRNA". It matches the Rfam family "Bacterial small subunit ribosomal RNA", at positions 133 to 777 of the family's 1533-position model. The record is from RNAcentral. Lineage: Bacteria; Bacillati; Bacillota.